GCUUAUUCUAAGGAGACAGAGUGGGAUUGGAAGGGGUGUAGACAGACCUGGAUUAGGAUCCUGAUGUUACCAUCAUGGAGCUGUGUACACCUGGGCAAUUUAUUCGACUUGAACCCAGGCUCAGCAUCUGUAAAAUAGGCUGAUGGUCCUUCCCCCUCAGAACUUUGGAUGAUAAAGUCAACAAUGCUCAUUGAAUGGAUGAAACCAAGGCUGGCACAGGGCCGAUGCAGGCAAAACGCUUGUUCCUGGCACCCAGAGCUGCAUGUGGGCAGGGAGAAGAGCAGAAAUGGUACUUCCUCGGAGGCACGGGCUGCUCCUGUUUGGGGAGCCAUCAUUCACAUUUUGAUCUUGAGGAUGUCUUAGGGUCCUAUUCUUCGUUCCCUCCUCCCAGCCACUGCGUUUAGGGCACAAUGCAAUGAUACAACUUUUUCCUUCUUGAAAAAGGAGUCAUUGCCCUGACCUCUCGUGUCGUCUGUGGGGCUCCAGGGCAUCCUCGAAGUCCCUAAAUAGGUUGAAAUAAACAACUCUCCAGCAGGUGAGGAAAUAUUCUGCCAUUCACAGGAUGCGAUUUUGCAUUAAAUGGCUGCUGAAGAAUCCUAUGUAUUGAAG
RNAcentral lists this long non-coding RNA (609 nucleotides) under Equus asinus (donkey). RNAcentral's name for it is "lncRNA (ENSEASG00005028901.1, ENSEASG00020004448.1)". The record is from RNAcentral. Lineage: Eukaryota; Metazoa; Chordata; Mammalia; Perissodactyla; Equidae.